GCCCUGAGUCCUCGCGCCUAACCACCACGGUUAAGGAUUCUGAUACGUUACCAAACCGCCAUCCAGAAAGGAAUUGCAAUUUGGACUUCUACAAGAAAUCAGAAACAGUAAAGAACAGCCUCGCUGCCUGCAGGGAUGAGUGAGGCCCUGAAGUCCAGAGCUUUGCUGAGUCGCUACUUGGGAGAGUAAACCUCCAAUGGUCUGCCAGUGCAGUGCGCAUAGCAACCUGAAUCACUGUAAAUCAUAUUUGCAAGGCGGAUGGGUUAAUCGGUUGAAAGCUGAGCCCAGAAGAUGAGGGAAAACUCCAUUGUGGGCAGGCUACUCACUUCUCAAGCCGGUGCUGACUCAGACUGAAGGAUUCCAGAGAUCCUGUGAUGGUGAGGCCACUUGGAGCUUGCCAUGCGGGGGACUCCCACCAUCAAGCAUCUGCCAACGAAGAGCCCACCUGGACCUUGGCAAACUGUGUCCUCUCUUCCCAAAAUGCACCUUUUGGACAUACCUUGUAGAAACUGGUUUAUCUGGAGCUCCGUCACUUGUGCUACUGCCUGGGUAGAGGGAGAGACCACAGGAAAGGCUGUGGCUGUGCCGGGCAGGGAGACCUCACAGCUAUUAUGCUCCAUGGAACAGCCCUGACGCUGCCAUCCUGCACGGAUGUUCUGUUUAGUCAAGACUGGCUGUCCCUGAAGUGGGGAAUUAUUAUUGUAACAUGUGUUUGGUGGAAGGGUGAUGUCGGGAGACGAUGAAAGGGGAGAGGCAUCUUAUUUCUGUUGGGGUGGGUUCGAGCUGGUAGGAGCUUCUGUCACUCUCCUCUGCUCUAUCUCUUUGCCCCUGGCAUCCAUAUGGGUCCUCUGAGGAUUCUAAGAGAAGCCAUGAAAGGUUAAGGGCAGGCUGCUCUAAACACGCCCCUUGAGGUUAUCCGAUGGCCUAAAUCGUACCCUAUGGGAUUGGAAAGGUGCGCUAUUGUUGGUGGGGUCAUCUGAAGGCUGCCCCUUCAAGCCCAGGGUAGCUGUGCUGCUAGCUCAGAGUUAAAACGAGCUUGGGAGCAGACAUAGGAAGCCAUUGUCCUGUUGGAUUUUCCAGCCCGUUAAGAAGCCUGGCCUGUAACCUUGAAGACAGGAUGUGACCCCCCACAUAAGUUCCUCACCUUGAUGACCCACAUGUAUCCAUGGGUCCAUCACAGUGCUCUUCUUUUCAGAGCUCAUCUCUCACUGGGGCUGAGAAUGAAUGAGUUGGUCUUUGAAAGUGUUCUCACCAUAGCCACCUAGGACGAAUGUCGUAUCUCCUGCUCAGCACCUCUCUGGCACUUCCCCUGAAUCUCUGUAGGACAAAAGGCAGGAAUCCACUUGCCUAGGCAUGUUAAACCCCAGGCUCUGUGCAUCUACAUUAGGAGAAUGCCAGGCUGCCCCAGAGAGUAUCCUGCUGGUUGUAAAAGAGGAAUUUGCUGUUGAAGUCACAGUUUGUAAUCUUGAUGUUCACGCCAGCCUCUGAGGGUUUGUCUGCCUUGAAGGUUGUCAGGACAAGGCACUUUGGAUGGCAGCUCGAACAUUAGACACUACUGCUGGAAUUUGCUUCAGACCUCUGUUUUCUUUCCCAAUGCCACGGGGCACCGGGUACCCAAACACCUCUCUUCCCCUAAACAGGUUUCAUAACAAGGCUGUUUUUCCAGUGUCUAUCACUUCGAAUAUUUCACUCUGUUGGGAUUAUCGGAGUCUUUGUGCAUCCUUACGUCACAGGAUGUUCUCUGGAUGGUAGAGGCGUGUUCCGCAGUGAGGUUGCAAUGGGUGGACAUUACCGCUGCUGGGUUAUCAUUACCGCUGCUGGGUUAUCUUUGUUGAGGACCUUCAGAAGCAUAGCUGCCCGUGUGGGGUUCUCUCUCCCUCCUUCCCUCCCCCCCCUCAGAUAUGACUGAGGGGCCCUGCAGCUUGUCAGAUCUGGUGGGCCUCAGAGUCAAGGCACGAGGUGGGGGUGGGGUGGGGGGGUCAGCUUAAGUUUGAGAAAGGCGUGAACUUGUUUCAAGUCACCUCAGGUGAGAGCCGAAAAUUCACCUGGUGAAUUUAUGUUUAUAAUGGAAAUAAACACACUGCUAGACCAAAAAAAAUUUUUUUAAAAAAUAAUUUUCAAAGGAAAAAGUGAUUAGAAGAAAAUAAAAAAGUAUAAAAGAUUAAAACUAGGGAGAGCUAAGAGGAGCAAGGAACCAGACCCAGCCAGGACUCGCAGGUGUUUGGGAUUGUAAAAUGACAACUUCAAAUAAAGCCACUUACAUGGUAA
Molecule: long non-coding RNA, 2268 nt
Organism: Mastomys coucha (southern multimammate mouse)
Lineage: Eukaryota; Metazoa; Chordata; Mammalia; Rodentia; Muridae
Exons: 3
Source: RefSeq, a predicted model, not a curated record